Molecule: long non-coding RNA, 752 nt
Organism: Rosa rugosa (rugosa rose)
Lineage: Eukaryota; Viridiplantae; Streptophyta; Magnoliopsida; Rosales; Rosaceae
Exons: 3
Source: RefSeq, a predicted model, not a curated record
UUCUUUAUUCUGCUGUCAAGGAUGCUGCUGCUUACAGCUCUUCUCUCCCCAAGUUCAUUUGGUGCGGUUGACAUUCCUCUGCAGAGUUUGGCUUCCAUCACCCUAGAUAAUGUUGAAAGAGAGCUGAGACCGGUCAAAGGUGUUGACACAGAAGCUGCAAACAUCACCCGCAAUCUUGAAGCAGUUCGAGCUGUGCUUGAGGAUGCUGAGAGCAGACAACUGAAGGAGGACACUGUGAGGCUUUGGCUGAAUGAUCUUACACACCUUUGCUAUGAGAUGGAAGAUGUGUAAGAUGAGAACACUGAAGUUCAAAAAGAAGAAUGGAGAAACAAGAAAAUGGAGGUGAAGAUGGCAUUGUUGCCAAGAAGGAGCAUUUUGCUGCAUUUGGUUACUUACCAGUGAACCAAUGGAUUACGAGUGCAAAGGGUCUUCACAAACAUUUCACAAGCUGUUCUUCCUUUGGUUUACUUUGCUAUCUGUGCUGGAUCUUCUAUCACUCUUAUUGCCCCUCAAGUUCAUUUGGCAAUGGUAAGUCUUGACUGCAGGGCCCCGUUUGGAUGACAGGAAAUCAUGGUAUGGAAUAGAAAUUAAUUUCAUUUUCCAUUUAGAUGUGCCGUUUGGUUGCAAUUAGAGAUAGGAAAGGAAAUAAAAAAUGAGAUUUGACUGGAAAUUGACUCCCUCUUAAAGCCUGAAUAGAAUUACCGAGUUAAGGGUGGUAUUCUAUUUCCAUUUCCCACUGUCAAAGGCAAAAU